RNAcentral lists this ribosomal RNA (475 nucleotides) under Salmonella enterica subsp. enterica. RNAcentral's name for it is "bacterial SSU rRNA". It matches the Rfam family "Bacterial small subunit ribosomal RNA", at positions 1 to 472 of the family's 1533-position model. Lineage: Bacteria; Pseudomonadati; Pseudomonadota; Gammaproteobacteria; Enterobacterales; Enterobacteriaceae. The record is from RNAcentral.
AAAUUGAAGAGUUUGAUCAUGGCUCAGAUUGAACGCUGGCGGCAGGCCUAACACAUGCAAGUCGAACGGUAACAGGAAGCAGCUUGCUGCUUCGCUGACGAGUGGCGGACGGGUGAGUAAUGUCUGGGAAACUGCCUGAUGGAGGGGGAUAACUACUGGAAACGGUGGCUAAUACCGCAUAACGUCGCAAGACCAAAGAGGGGGACCUUCGGGCCUCUUGCCAUCAGAUGUGCCCAGAUGGGAUUAGCUAGUUGGUGAGGUAACGGCUCACCAAGGCGACGAUCCCUAGCUGGUCUGAGAGGAUGACCAGCCACACUGGAACUGAGACACGGUCCAGACUCCUACGGGAGGCAGCAGUGGGGAAUAUUGCACAAUGGGCGCAAGCCUGAUGCAGCCAUGCCGCGUGUAUGAAGAAGGCCUUCGGGUUGUAAAGUACUUUCAGCGGGGAGGAAGGUGUUGUGGUUAAUAACCGCAG